Molecule: long non-coding RNA, 575 nt
Organism: Pocillopora verrucosa
Lineage: Eukaryota; Metazoa; Cnidaria; Anthozoa; Scleractinia; Pocilloporidae
Source: RefSeq, a predicted model, not a curated record
GAGAGUCCAGUUCGGGGUCAAGUCCAGAGUCCAGUCCAGUGUCCAUUCAUCUUUUGCAGCUGAACGAACAAUGGUGUCAGAACGCUUAAUUAGCAAAUUGUUUUAGCCCUUAUAAUGGCGGACAUGGCGAUGUAAACAUAUAGAGGCACAUUGGUAUUGAGUUUCAUAAAUCAGACUUAAGGAGGAAUCACGGACUUCCAAAGACAUGAAAGGGCUAAACAAAGGCAAUUGUGAUGCGAUGAAAUGAAAUAAUCGGUAUAAGUGGAUAUUUAAGGUAGCUGUCACUUUAAAAGGGUAGGACCAACCAUGUCAUAUUUUCUAUGAGUCAAGCUUGAUUGACGUCAUCAAGUGCAAUCUGUUGGCAUGAAGAUGAGAAGAACGUCAGUAUUUUAUCGCUAUCAUCAUCCACGCUUAUUCCCCCCCUUCCCUCUCCCAAGAAAAACUUUCCAGAAUCGAGCCAAAAGUCAAAUUCUUGGUUUGACCUUUCUUCGAACCAAAGUGCUACCCAAGAGCAGUCUUAACACUGGUUCGCAUAAAUAUAUAUCAUUACGAGGAGUAAGGAGGAUGGCGAGAAA